CCCAGACUCCUACGGGAGGCAGCAGUGAGGAAUAUUGGUCAAUGGCCGAGAGUCUGAACCAGCCAAGUAGCGUGAAGGAUGACUGCCCUAUGGGUUGUAAACUUCUUUUAUAUGGGAAUAAAACGUUCCACGUGUGGGAUUUUGUAUGUACCAUAUGAAUAAGGAUCGGCUAACUCCGUGCCAGCAGCCGCGGUAAUACGGAGGAUGCGAGCGUUAUCCGGAUUUAUUGGGUUUAAAGGGUGCGCAGGCGGAGGUGCAAGUCAGCGGUCAAAUUGCGGGGCUCAACCCCGUACUGCCGUUGAAACUGCAUCCCUUGAGUGCGCGAGAAGUAUGCGGAAUGCGUGGUGUAGCGGUGAAAUGCAUAGAUAUCACGCAGAACUCCGAUUGCGAAGGCAGCAUACCGGCGCGCAACUGACGCUCAUGCACGAAAGCGUGGGUAUCGAACAGGAUUAGAUACCCUCGUA
This 464-nucleotide ribosomal RNA is filed under the name uncultured bacterium. Its description in RNAcentral is "bacterial SSU rRNA". It matches the Rfam family "Bacterial small subunit ribosomal RNA", at positions 330 to 792 of the family's 1533-position model. The record is from RNAcentral.